RNAcentral lists this long non-coding RNA (233 nucleotides) under Gossypium barbadense (sea-island cotton). RNAcentral's name for it is "long non-coding RNA (GBAR_LNC013991)". The record is from RNAcentral. Lineage: Eukaryota; Viridiplantae; Streptophyta; Magnoliopsida; Malvales; Malvaceae.
GGGGGGACACAAGCAGCUCUGGAAUAAGCCUUGUCGACUUGAAUCUUUGGGCACCGAAGCAAGGUCGUAUACUCCUCCACAGUAGGCGUCAAAUCUACCUUCCCAAAAGUGAAACAACUGUAGGCAGGAUUCCAAAACUGAGCAAGGGCUCGGAAUAAAUACUUGUCCACUUUGACACUAAGCAGAUAAGGUAGGUCACCGUAGUUACAAUAGAACAGCUGCUUGGCCUCGAC